Molecule: ribosomal RNA, 216 nt
Filed under: Glomeromycotina sp.
Lineage: Eukaryota; Fungi; Glomeromycota
Description: partial small subunit ribosomal RNA
Rfam family: Eukaryotic small subunit ribosomal RNA (bases 40-216)
Source: RNAcentral
GGGUCCGUAGGUUGGUCGUGCCACCGGUACGUACUGGUCUCACUGAUUCCUCCUUCCUGAAGAACCGUAAUGCCAUUAAUUUGGUGUUGCGGGGAAACAGGACUGUUACUUUGAAAAAAUUAGAGUGUUUAAAGCAAGCUAACGCUUGAAUACAUUAGCAUGGAAUAAUGAAAUAGGACGAUCGAUCCUAUUUUGUUGGUUUCUGGGAUUGACGUA